UUUUUAGAGUGUGUCAGUUCCAAUGUGAGGAAGGAUAUGAAGAAAACAGACGCAGACUGGAUACUAUAGUGCUCAUGGCUUUAUUGCAGGAAUCUGUCAGUGCUCUUCUAGAGAGAAGAGGCUGGUUUGGUGACCGGGAAGAUUUCAGUGUAAUGCUUCAAUCCAGUCCAGUGCACACCGAACUGUCAAACCCAAUGAAAGCCUCUACGUCUGACUCCUCACGUGACAUAAGCUCGUUGACUUUACAACUCUGGACUAAUUUGCUGCAGCCAUUGACAGAUAAGACUGAGACGAAUGGGCGGGGCAUAUUCACCAUUCCGUGCCCCACAGAGGAAAAGCCAUUUUUGCGAACACAGGAAAACUCAUACUCACCUGAGCUCGGUAACUCCCAAACAGAGGAUCCCUCUCCACUACUCCACCCAGUGAUGGGGAGUGAGCUCACCUGUGAGGACAGGUCUCCAUCUCCCAGCAUCCCUACCUCAGGUAAACAGGGAUCUCAAACCUGUAGUGCACCCUGGCUGGAAAUUAUAGU
RNAcentral lists this long non-coding RNA (532 nucleotides) under Sinocyclocheilus grahami. RNAcentral's name for it is "lncRNA (ENSSGRG00000018451.1)". Lineage: Eukaryota; Metazoa; Chordata; Actinopteri; Cypriniformes; Cyprinidae. The record is from RNAcentral.